This 253-nucleotide ribosomal RNA is filed under the name uncultured bacterium. Its description in RNAcentral is "partial 16S ribosomal RNA". It matches the Rfam family "Bacterial small subunit ribosomal RNA", at positions 524 to 776 of the family's 1533-position model. The record is from RNAcentral.
UACGGAGGGUGCAAGCGUUAUCCGGAUUUACUGGGUUUAAAGGGUGUGUAGGCGGGUUUUUAAGUCAGUGGUGAAAUCUCCGGGCUCAACCUGGAAACUGCCAUUGAUACUAUCCGGCUCGAGGAAUGGAGGGGAGACUGGAAUACUUGGUGUAGCAGUGAAAUGCGUAGAUAUCAAGUGGAACACCAGUGGCGAAGGCGAGUCUCUGGACAUUUCCUGACGCUGAGGCACGAAAGCCAGGGGAGCAAACGGG